Molecule: ribosomal RNA, 353 nt
Filed under: uncultured Methanomicrobiales archaeon
Lineage: Archaea; Methanobacteriati; Methanobacteriota; Methanomicrobia; Methanomicrobiales
Description: bacterial SSU rRNA
Rfam family: Archaeal small subunit ribosomal RNA
Source: RNAcentral
GGAGGUGCAUGGCCGUCGUCAGUUCGUACUGUGAAGCAUCCUGUUAAGUCAGGCAACGAGCGAGACCCACGCCAACAGUUGCCAGCUCGUCCUCCGGGAUGGUGGGGACACUGUUGGGACCGCCUCUGCUAAAGAGGAGGAAGGAAUGGGCAACGGUAGGUCAGCAUGCCCCGAAUUAUCUGGGCUACACGCGGGCUACAAUGGGUGGGACAAUGGGUAUCGACACCGAAAGGUGAAGGCAAUCUCCUAAACCCAUCCGUAGUUCGGAUUGUGGGCUGCAACUCGCCCACAUGAAGCUGGAAUCUGUAGUAAUCGUGUCUCAAAAUGGCACGGUGAAUAUGUCCCUGCUCCUU